CAGAAUCCUAUUGAUGCGAUGUUCGUCUCUUUCACUGCAUUGCAUACUCCACCUAGCCUCUCACAAAAUUCUGGAAACCGUAAAAAGGAAAAACCAUUUCUCUGUGGACCAGGAAUGCUCAUAAUUUGCAGAGGAUUGUGAUUGGCUGAUGGACGCUCCACAAAGUAUGAAAUUUACUCAGAGUUAAACCAGAAGGGUCGACAGCACGGGCUUGGAAGUCAGGUACCCCUGGCUAGGUAGAUCAGCCUGGCCUCUAAGCAGCUGCAGAAGCUUGGCCGAGUCACCUGACUUCACUGUGUGCCUCUUUGUCAUUUCUAACAUGGAUACCAUUAUGUCUCUUUACUGGGGUGAGAAUUAAAAUGCAAAAAUUCACCCAAAGCCUGUGUGGCACAGAGUAAGUGUCCAAUAAGUUCCGGCUCUCACUUGUACUACAAUGAAGUGAUGUGAGUUAAGGUGACAAAAGCAACCUUAGAUUUUCCUCCCUGGGUUGGUUGUGUGCCUCACAAUAGAGCCUGGUGAGUGUUGACAACUUCCGUUUUCUUUUUAUACUUCCUUUAAGCCUUGAUAAAAAGGUCACAAUGAUGUUCUUUAGUCCGUUCUCCAUCAAAGCAGUGAAAUAUCAUCCAAGCAGCUCAGGAACUCCGUUCUAGACAAGCCUUCUCAAAACCACAGCUAUGCCACUAUCAAACAAUGAUACUCUGUUUAUGAAACUCAAUAGGGAAGACAUACGUAACGUUAAACCUUCCUGAAAUGUCACACACUUUUAAACAAGUGUUUUAGUUGUGCAUGUUUUACCUCUUUUCUUUCAAAAUGAAACAGAAGACGAGGUGGGGCUUUAUUUAGUCUGGGGCAAAAGAAAAAGUUUCAUCCAGCAGAGUUUAGCUCCCCUGUCAGAUGAUAAAUGAGACAGGUGAUUUUUUCGCUUCCUUAUUCUUGAAAAAGCUAGCAAUGGUGAGAAACAAUCAUCUUUAGGUCUGAGUGAAGCAAGGGGUCUUCCUUUCUCCUAUUUUCCUUUCAUCCUCUACCUAGCAUUAUUUCUUCUCGAAUGUGUUUUUAACACUAGUUGUUCAAACAGGUCAUGAAUCCUUUCUCCUUCCUUGAUAUACAUUUUGACUGUUGCCAGAAACUACCUUUGAUGUGUUCCUGUAGAGAAUAACACAGGCUUUCCUGUUUGUCUCAGAGCUGCUGAACUGAAGCUUCAACUACAGAGAACAAAACCAUCUGCAUUUAAAAAAAUAUCAGCACCCCCUCCCAAACACACACACACACACACACACACACACACACACACACACACACACACACGCACAUGAACGCACACACAACAUUGUCAUUGUAAACCCAGACCGGGUCUCUCUGGGGUUCAUAGAGUUCCUGUUGUGCCUCUCUUGGUUGUUUUAAUGUGAGUUUUCAUCACGCUACUCCUCAUCUCUGCUAUCUGUGUCUUAAAAUAGCAACAGUCAUUAUCAGAUGGCUGUCCCCCUCUUCCACUCCUGGCUGAACUAGAGAGCCUCUCAGAUUUCCCCACCAAACCUCUGAAUCCAUCUGAGGUUUGCUCAUCUGUCUUUCUAAGUCAGCAGAAGGAAAAACACAGGAAGACUGUGCCUUGAGCUAUAACGAACCCUGGACAUCCCCCAGCUUGUGUCAGUAUCUCCCGAGGAAACUUUUCAUGGAAUCAGAGCGCUGGAAGAGACCUCAAGAGAUCAAAAAGUCCUGAAAAACAAGGGUUCUAAGAAACUGAGAAUCACAGAAUAUUAAAAAUGCAAAAAGCUUCCGUCAUCUCAUCUCCUAUCUUUCUCAUCCAGGUGAAAUUGUUUCCAUUAUUUUGACUUUUCCCUAUUCAUCCCACUUUCUGAUCCUAUAACAGUGUUUAUCCCAUUUCUAUAACUUGCAUGAUUUCUGUUUUAUCUCCAUACUGCCUGUAUUAUUAUUUUUUAAAAAUUGAUUUCAAAAAGAUUCAUUUUUUUCUUUACAUUGGAUUGAGCAGUAACAUCCAUGAAAUCAGUUUUAAUAUAUUAGUUUUACUUUCCCCUUCUAUUACACAGCAAAUGAAACCAUAAUUAUUUUAAAAAUUCAUGCUUCUACCACCUAAAACAAUCACUCAUAUGACUGUCCUACACAUACAACAAGUUGGAAAAAAAUACACUAGGGCAGAAGCCAGCAAACUUUUCCAAUAAAGGACCAAAUAGUAAAUUUGAGCUUUGCAGGCCAAGAGACAAAAUUUAAGAUAUUAUAUAGGUACUUAUAUAACCUAAGAAAACUAAUUUUCACAUUUCCUCCCAAUCAUUAAAAAAUGUAAAAACCAUUCUAACCCAUAGGUCAUACAAAAACAGGUGGCGUUUAGCUCACAGGUCACAGUUUGUCAACCCCUGCUUGAAACAUAUAUCUGAUACUUACUUGAACCUUCUCUGAAAUGUCUAUAAUGGUGAGUGAGACAGAAAAAGACUCAUUGGACGUCUGCGAAGAUGAACUAUUUGGACAUCAUAAGUGUUUAGCAUAACACCAGGCACAAACAACAUUACUCAAUAAAUAUUAGCUGUUGUUUUCAUUACCAUCAUCAUCGUCACCAUCUUCUUCUCUCUUAGUGGGGUUGGUUAACCACUGAGUAUGUGGCUUGGCACACAGUAGGCACUCAGUGAAAGCUAGAUGGUGUUAUUAUUUCACAUGGUUGGGGUAUACAGCAUCUCAACCAUUUGAGCACAUCAGACUUAACUGUAGGAUUUUUUAAAAACACACAUGCUGGUUUUCCACCCCCAGAAAUCCCAGUUUGCCCAAGGAAAAGCUGAGCACAUGACUUUUUUUUGAAAGCUCUAGAGGCGAUUCUGAUGAUUCCAGUCACAAACCAGUGGCUGAUAGAGGGAGGAAAAUCUGGGCAACAGGGUAGGAAAUCCCAAUCUCUAGACUGGCCGUUUGCUCUGCUCAGUUUUAUGGUCACAUACGACACCAGCUGGUGCUUAGCCCACUUUGGAAAUGUUGGAUUCCAUCUGUCAGUCAGUCAUCAACCGAUGCUAACUGAGGAGACCUAUCGCACACUGGCCCUUGAGCCAAGUGCUCAGAUACAAAAAUGAAGGAGGCAAAGGCUCUAUGGUUUAUAGCCCCCUUCCCUCACCUUCCCUCCCUUUGCCACCCUUUGUUUUUCUUCUUAGCCCCUUUUUAACCACAUGGCAUCUUAAGUAUAUAUGUUGCUUCUGUCCCCUGAGAGCAGGGUCCUGAUGGAUCUUACUCAUUACUGCUG
RNAcentral lists this long non-coding RNA (3235 nucleotides) under Homo sapiens (human). Its description in RNAcentral is "HSALNT0269000". Lineage: Eukaryota; Metazoa; Chordata; Mammalia; Primates; Hominidae. The record is from RNAcentral.